GGAUAGGGGACUGUCUGACCUCUCCCAGGGAUUGUGUUCAGGGAACCCAAAGGAAUCUGGGAAGGAACAGAAAGUUACCACCUUUGACACAUGUGGCAGAGUUCUCUGGAACCUUUCCUCUGUUCCUACCACAGGAAGGCCACAGGUACCAGGGCUCUACCGGCCUAAACCAUAGUUCUGUGCUGACUGAGAGGUUCUGAAAUUAGAAAAAAGGUCUAAAUCCUGCUUCCAGGUUUUUUUGAGGUGGAGAAAAGCAGAGUGACCUGGGAGAAGUGGUUAUCAACAACACAGUGGGUGACUUCUUCCCUGGGGGCAAGCCUCACUGCUGAGUUGCUUGGAAGAGCUUGGAGAAACCAGAAGUGAGAUCCAGGAGAAGCAAGGCCCUGGAGUGCCAGGAGCCCUUUUCCCAAAGAUGGAGAAAUAAACGAAGAAAUACAGCAUUAGGAGAAACACUGGCAGAGAUUCAAAGAAGCCACUAAAGCAGAAGAAUAUGAAUGGACUUGGUCAAAAUUCGGACAAUGGAUUAUUGGUUACACAUGUUAACCAGACGCAGGACUUACUGAUGAACCUGAAGGAAAGAGGGAAAGGAUUGCUCCAACAGGAAGAUCUUACCAUUCUCUAUGCAAAUGAACUAGUUGAAUUACAUAAUCAGCAUGGC
Long non-coding RNA from Symphalangus syndactylus (siamang), 658 nucleotides. RefSeq lists it as uncharacterized. The record is from RefSeq and is a predicted model, not a curated record. Lineage: Eukaryota; Metazoa; Chordata; Mammalia; Primates; Hylobatidae.